RNAcentral lists this long non-coding RNA (203 nucleotides) under Bos taurus (domestic cattle). RNAcentral's name for it is "long non-coding RNA NONBTAT026407". Lineage: Eukaryota; Metazoa; Chordata; Mammalia; Artiodactyla; Bovidae. The record is from RNAcentral.
ACCUGAACCCAGGCACAUGUAUGUACACACACAUGUACUUCCCUCUAGAGUGGCUACUUGGGGACAGGGAAGUCUACUGAAAAGGAGAGGCAAAGAAAGACUGUCCUAAGCACAAGAGAAUGUCCAUUAUUUGUAGACAGAGGCUACCCAUCCUUGCCCCCUGCCAGUGUCGUGAGAAUAAAGCAAGCUGCCUUUUGAGGGUG